GGUUUGGAUUCUGGCUCAGAUUGAACGUUAUGGGAUGUUUACACAUGCAAGUCGAACGGCAGCACGCAGGACUUCGGUCUGGUGGCGAGUGUGAACGGGUGAGUACUGCACUGGAACGCCUAGUAGCGGGGGAUAACUACAUGCUGAAGCGCAGCUAAUACCGCAGUUACCACGCCCUUCGGGGGAAAGCGGGGGACCUUCGGGCCUCGCACCAUUAGGAGUGGCCGAUAUCGGAUUAGUUAGCUGGUGGGGGGUAACGGCUCAUGCGACGAUCCGUGGUUGGUUUGAGGACAACCAGCCACACUGGGACUGAGACACGGCCCAGACUCCUACGGGAGUGGCAGCAGUGGGGACCGGACAGCCGGGAAACCCCUGAUCCAGCCAUCUCGCGGGUAUGAUGAAGGCCUUCGGGUUGUAAAGCACUUUUGCAGGAAAGAAACGUACGGGAUAAUACCUGCAACUGGACGGCACCUGCAGAUCACACCCGCUAACUACGCCAGCAGCCGCGGUAAUACGGUGGUAAGCGCACCGGAAUUGCUUGUAUAGCGUGCGUGCAGGCGGUUCGGGAAAGCAGUGAUGUGAAAUCCCAGAGCUUAACUUUGGAAUCCAGAUGACCACUGAGCUAGAGGCCAGAGGAGGGAAUUUCGCGUGUAGCAGUGAAAUGCGUAGAUAUGCGGAGGAACACCGAUGGCGAAGGCAGCCUCCUGGGAUAACACUCGACGCUCAUGUACGAGCGUGGGAGCAAACAGGAUUAGAUAUUCUGGUAGUCCACGCCCUAAACGAUGUCAACUUAGCUGUUGGGGCUCUCGGGCCUUGGAAAGUGGAAGCAACGGGUGUGAAGUUGACCGCCUGGGGAGUACGGUCGCAAGAUUAAAACUCAAAGGAAUUGACGGGGACCCGCACAAGCGGUGGAUGAUGUGGAUUAAUUGAUGCAACGCGAAAAACCUUACUCACCCUUGACAUGUCUGGAAUCCCGGAAGAGAUUUGGGAGUGCUCAAAAGAGAACCGGAAUAUAGGUAUGCAUGGCUACGUCAGCUCGUGUCGUGAGAUGUUGGGUUAAGUCCCGCAACGAGCGCAACUCCUUGGCUAUUAUUACAGCCGAAAGGGCACUCCCACGAGACUGCUGUGACAAACCGGAGGAAGGUGGGGAUGACGUCAAGUCCUCAUGGCCCUUAUGGGCAGGUCACACGCUACACAAUGGUCGGAGACAGAGGGUCGCCAACCCGCGGUGGGGGAGCCAAUCCCAGAAACCCUGACCGGAAGUCCGGAUCGCAGUCUGCAACUCGACUGCGGGAAGUCGGAAUCGCUAGUAAUCGCGGAUCAGCAUGUCGCGAAUACGUUCCGGGUCUUGCACACACCCGCCUGGUCACAGCACCAUGGGAGUGGGUUUUACCAGAAGUAGUUAGCUCUUAACCGUAAGGAGGGCGAUUACCGUAGGAUUCAUGGGAUUGGGGUGAAGUCGUAAAUAAAGGUAGCAGC
Molecule: ribosomal RNA, 1479 nt
Filed under: uncultured Bordetella sp.
Lineage: Bacteria; Pseudomonadati; Pseudomonadota; Betaproteobacteria; Burkholderiales; Alcaligenaceae
Description: partial 16S-23S ribosomal RNA intergenic spacer
Rfam family: Bacterial small subunit ribosomal RNA
Source: RNAcentral